AACAUUUUGGAUAGCACAUGGCAAGAUUUUUUUAUAUUUUUAUAUUUCAUUUGUAAAGCUGAAUGGGUUUACUUCAGAACAUGAAAUUUUAUUGGGUCAAUGGUAGUUCUGGCGUUUAGCUCAGCUAAUGCUUGGGAAUAACUGGUUUUGUACAUGGUCAUUUCUUUUUAGUUGUUGUCUUCCAACUCAAAUCCAUAAACAAUCUUUAAAUAGUCAAUAGCUUGAGAAGCUGUAUGCUGCUUUGCAUCAUCCAUAUUUUGCAUGCUAAUUCCAGUUCGUUUCGCAAAUAAACCUAAUGCCAUCAACAUUGAUAUGUGAGAAAAUAAAUUUUACAUAAAAAACAUCAUUUUCAGAAUGCUGCACAUGAUAGCAAGCAUCUAGCAUGCCAAAAUGCUCAAGUAGUUGUGAUAUCACACUCCGAAGAAAAAUUCUAAUAUGCAUUUCUAACAAAACAUACAAGAGCUAUCAAAAUAAGUAUAAGCAAAAUGAAUACAGAGAAAGUAACGACUUAUAAAAAAUGCAUAAAAUGACAAUAAAAGAAAUCGAAUACCCAUUGCAGUGGAUGCUGAAACAAAUAAUUGAAAGGCUGAAUACAUGAUUUGUAACAAAAGAGCACAUCCAUCACAGUACAUGUGAAGAAAGUUAUCAAAAGCUAUAGAAAGUGCAACUAUUUAUAGAAAUUUAGAUGGAGCUAGUAGUUAUGGAAAUGAGAUACAUAAAAGAGAAUAUACCGAGUAAAUGAUCAGCUCCUUUAAGAUUGAAUUGAUGGCAGAGAGUAGGGUAUCCUAGAAGGUCUGAGCACUAAAGAGGAAACCCACUGCUACUCAUUAAUGAUGGGUCAGAGAAACUGGAGCAGAAUAUUUGGAGAAGAUUGUUACAGAUUUUAAUAUUAAAUAAAGGACGCUGCGUUGACACACAAAAUCUGAAAAUAUUUUCGGAUCUUGUAUGAAUUGAUAAUUAUUUUUUAAAUUUUGCAUGAUUUGAAAAAUUGAUCGCUCAUGCCCACUCAUUAUAAUAUUCACCCUUCAACUGAACUUAAGUGAUAAUAUUACUAGGAUUGUCAUUUGUGGUUAGUGUGUAGAGGUUGGAUGUCUUCUUGUCUGAACUUGAACUCUUGUCAUCUCUGUUUUUCUCUUUUCUCAUGACUCUAAUAUCAUAUAAAAAUCUAAAAAAAUUGGGACUCAAACUUCUUCCCUUUCGUUGAUACUAAUACCAAAUAUAUAUAUGAAUUUACAGCUAAUUAAAUCUCUUACACAAGAGAAACUACCUAAACUUUACAAUAAGGAAAUCUCCUAAACAAAGAAAAUAAUCAAGAAUAAUAAAGAAUAAUAUAACAGGAAAGUAGGAAAAAUAAUUCAACCCCAAUCUAACUUGCUGCCAAGAUUAUUAUUAUUGUUGAGAUUAUUGCUACCGAGUCUUUUUCCUAACAAUUUAAUAUAUAUUUUAAAUUGAGUUUAGAAAAAAAAAAUUUAUUCAUAUAUGAGUUAAGUCCAUGGAAAAAUUGAAAAUAUGAUCUUUAAUUGAUAUAAUCAAAAUUUAAGAGCUAAAAUGUUAUGUUUUGAAGAGAAAAGUACAUAUAAUUAGCCUUUUUUCUUAAUAAUUUAAUAAAAAUUUGUGAGUUUUUUUUUUUUUUUGUCAGAAAGAUAAGAGAAUUCAUUAAUAGAGGCCUAAGGCUAAUAAGAGUACAAUCCAGAUAAAAUAGACUUGGAAAAAAAAGGCUGGUGGAAGCUUAAAAGUAAAGAACAUACGAGACCCAAAGCUCAUGCCAAAAAACCCUAGCAAACAAAGGAGACAAGAAGAACAAGAGUAGUGGCACCGAUGGGAUUGAUCCACCACCGAGAAAUGCCAAAAACAAAAGAUCCUCUAUCAGAACCUCCAACAACCAUCAUAGCUAAAGAAACUCAACCAAGCCAAAGACCACUAUCGUAGCUAUGGAUCUUAUUAAAGACUCAGCUUUAAGAAGGUAGUCUAAAAAGGUCAGCAAGUCUAUGCAAGCAGCGGUGGCUUCAAGACCUCAAGAUGCAACAUAUCUAACCAUUAAAGAACCACAAUCGUAGCCCAACCUCGAAACACACUUUUUGCAGCUCAAACUGACGGUGGAACAUAAAUUUCAAAUGAUAGAUCAAUGGAUAAUAUUCUCUUCUCACGCUCUAAUCAUGCCAACGAAAGUUAGAUCAAAGCAGUAAAGGCGGAGAACGAUAAAUGACUCAUUAGAACAUUGAUUCUCUAUAUAAAAAUAAACAUGCAUAUAAGAUACUUGUAUGUAUUAAGUUAAAGAAGAAAAAUACAGAAUACACAAUGAAAUGAAAAGAAACUAAAACAUAAGCAAAUCUCUAACAAAACCCUCUUGAUGAAACUUGGAUCUGCAAAUAAAAAGUUAGGAACAACUAUAUACACCCACCAAGAGGGAGAAGAGAGGAACCCAUGACUUCAAGUGGUAAGAGGAGUCAACUCUCCCCUCUCUUGAAAGAGUUAGAGGAUGACUGUUUGAAGAACUAUAUACACCCACCAAGAGAGAGAAGAGAGGAACCCAUGACUUCAAGUAGUAAGAGGAGUCAACUCCCCCUGAAAGAGUUACAUGAUGACCGAUUGAAGUAGCAGCAAAGGAGAUGUUAGAACCUCAAAUAAAAAAAAAAGAGAGUUAAGAGAAAACUCUCUCUAGACUAAUCUAGAGAGAGAAAGCUUUCUUUUCUAUUCAAAUGUGAGUUAAAUUAAUUUUGAAUAUAGGAUCUUCAAUUUAACAUAAUCAAACUAUAUAAGUCAAACCGUUAUGUUUUGAAGAUAAUAUAUAUAUAUAUAUUAGUUUUUUUCCUGACAAUGUAAUAUAAAUUUAAAAUUGAGUUUAGGAAAAAUUACUUUUUAGUCCCUAAGAUUUAACGUAAUUAACACUUAUGUCCCUCUAUUUUGGCGACCCAACACUUAAGUCCCUCACUUUAUUUUCUGUCCAAAUUCGUAGUUCUUCCAUCCAAAAUAACCGUUUGGGAUACGUGAAUUGACAAAAUUAACCCUCACUAAACCCAACUUCUUCUUCUUCUUCCUACCCUUUCUGCAACUUCUUUUUUCUUCUUCUUCAACUGGAGAAAAUAUGAAAGAGAAAAAAAAAUAGAAAUUUUACAUUGAGAGAAGGGUAUUUUUGGAAAAAAUUAUCACCUCUCACUUUUGACUCUUUGACCAAACGGUUUAAAUGGACGGAAAGACUACGAAUUUGAACGGAAGAGAAAGUGAGGGACUUAAGUGUUGGAUCGCCAAAAUAAAUGGAUAAAAAUGUUAAUUACGUUAAACCUCAGGGACUAAAAAGUAAUUUUCCCUUGAGUUUAAGAAAAAACUUAUUCAAAU
Molecule: long non-coding RNA, 3336 nt
Filed under: Manihot esculenta (cassava)
Lineage: Eukaryota; Viridiplantae; Streptophyta; Magnoliopsida; Malpighiales; Euphorbiaceae
Description: long non-coding RNA (MESC_LNC008621)
Source: RNAcentral